UGAACUUAGCUUGCUAAGUUUGAUGGCGACCGGCGCACGGGUGAGUAACACGUAUGCAAUCCACCUGUAACAGGGGGAUAACCCGGAGAAAUCCGGACUAAUACCCCAUAAUAUGGGCUCUCCGCAUGGAGGGCCCAUUAAAGAGAGCAAUCUUGGUUACAGACGAGCAUGCGCUCCAUUAGCCAGUUGGCGGGGUAACGGCCCACCAAGGCGACGAUUGGUAGCCGGACUGAGAGGUUGAACGGCCACAUUGGGACUGAGACACGGCCCAGACUCC
RNAcentral lists this ribosomal RNA (277 nucleotides) under uncultured bacterium. Its description in RNAcentral is "partial 16S ribosomal RNA". It matches the Rfam family "Bacterial small subunit ribosomal RNA", at positions 70 to 339 of the family's 1533-position model. The record is from RNAcentral.